This 98-nucleotide ribosomal RNA is filed under the name Salvator merianae (Argentine black and white tegu). Lineage: Eukaryota; Metazoa; Chordata; Lepidosauria; Squamata; Teiidae. The record is from RNAcentral.
UUAGGCUGUCAUCUUGUGAAAGCUCAGAAGCUAAUCAGGAUCAGGCCAGGUUGAUACUUGGAUAGGAAACUGCUCAGAAAUACUAGGUGCUGUCGAUG